Non-coding RNA from Labrus bergylta (ballan wrasse), 421 nucleotides. Lineage: Eukaryota; Metazoa; Chordata; Actinopteri; Labriformes; Labridae. The record is from RefSeq and is a predicted model, not a curated record.
GUGUAUAAAUAACGCGAUCUUUCUUCGUCACAUCCUCUUUCCGUUGCUGUUCUCACUUUGAGAAACUUCUCCACACGAUGAGAGCAAAGUGGAGGAAGAAGCGUAUGCGCAGGCUGAAGCGUAAAAGGAGAAAGAUGAGGCAGAGGUCAAAGUAAGCCCUCAUUGCAUCAGCUGUGAUCCUGUCAAAGCCUCGCCAGAUGACUUGACCCCCCCCCUCCUUCAGUGGAUUGAAAGCCUCCACCCCGAUGUCUGACAACAGAGCCUCUAACUGAGCACGCUGUGGACAUCUGACUGGAAGAUGGAUGACACUGGACGGAUCUCUCACCAUCAGAACUGCAGCUGCUUUGUUCAUGGACCAGAAUACGAUCUCUUGACCUUCAUGUGGUGUAUUGAACAAUAAAUGAACACUGUUAAAACUUAA